CGGCAGCAUGAUCUAGCUUGCUAGAUUGAUGGCGAGUGGCGAACGGGUGAGUAAUACAUCGGAACGUGCCCUGUAGUGGGGGAUAACUAGUCGAAAGAUUAGCUAAUACCGCAUACGACCUGAGGGUGAAAGUGGGGGACCGCAAGGCCUCAUGCUAUAGGAGCGGCCGAUGUCUGAUUAGCUAGUUGGUGGGGUAAGAGCCUACCAAGGCGACGAUCAGUAGCUGGUCUGAGAGGACGAUCAGCCACACUGGGACUGAGACACGGCCCAGACUCCUACGGGAGGCAGCAGUGGGGAAUUUUGGACAAUGGGCGAAAGCCUGAUCCAGCAAUGCCGCGUGUGUGAAGAAGGCCUUCGGGUUGUAAAGCACUUUUGUCCGGAAAGAAAUCGCACUUAAUAAUACUAGGUGUGGAUGACGGUACCGGAAGAAUAAGGACCGGCUAACUACGUGCCAGCAGCCGCGGUAAUACGUAGGGUCCAAGCGUUAAUCGGAAUUACUGGGCGUAAAGCGUGCGCAGGCGGUUGUGCAAGACCGAUGUGAAAUCCCCGAGCUUAACUUGGGAAUUGCAUUGGUGACUGCACGGCUAGAGUGUGUCAGAGGGGGGUAGAAUUCCACGUGUAGCAGUGAAAUGCGUAGAGAUGUGGAGGAAUACCGAUGGCG
This 661-nucleotide ribosomal RNA is filed under the name Ralstonia sp. N-YB-1771. Its description in RNAcentral is "bacterial SSU rRNA". It matches the Rfam family "Bacterial small subunit ribosomal RNA", at positions 67 to 717 of the family's 1533-position model. The record is from RNAcentral. Lineage: Bacteria; Pseudomonadati; Pseudomonadota; Betaproteobacteria; Burkholderiales; Burkholderiaceae.